CCAGACCAAGGGCUAUAAAGUAACGGCUGAAACCGAAUAAUACUGGACCUGCAUCACGUGAUGCAGGUCACUCACGACGCCCAAUCACAAUGUAGCAGUUUGCGCGCCAACUGUGGUGGAGCCAAGUGCAUCGGUGGACGGACGGUUAUUGUUUGAAAUUGAGCAGCCAGACUACAACAAUUCAACAUGUCUCUGCUGGACCUACCAACAUUUGGACUGUUCUAUUUCCCAGACGGGUCGGUUAGAGUAGAACAUACAUCUAUCAUAAAGGAUGUAAACAGGGCUGCAAAAGUUACAGUUACCUGCAGGGAAGACCUCGAUUUGGAGCAAGGCUGGAUAGAGGUGAUUUGGCCUGCCAAACGUCGACCGCAAAAGGGGUCGAAGCCAGUUGCAGCCAAAUUGCUGUUCGUAGGAGAAGUCUACCAAGAAGUGGUUCAAAAGCGGGAUGCUUUCAUCCGAGGGUAGCCGAGUCCCAGAAAAGAGGCAGCAGAAGAAAGACAUGUACAGUCAAAAAUGUGAAGGAGGCUGUACAAAAAACAAACCAAGGAAAGGCAUCUGGUUCACAGAUGGUAACUGCCAUGGGCGAACAGCUCAAUAGAUCCCUACAGGCUGAGAGAACCUCCAAGCCCUCAGAAGAGGUGACAUCUGAAUCACCUCAACACUCUUCAGAUUCUGA
Long non-coding RNA from Gymnodraco acuticeps, 676 nucleotides. RefSeq lists it as uncharacterized. NCBI's taxonomy places the organism in Eukaryota, Metazoa, Chordata, Actinopteri, Perciformes, Bathydraconidae. The record is from RefSeq and is a predicted model, not a curated record. The transcript is spliced from 3 exons.